GACGAACGCUGGCGGCGUGCCUAAUACAUGCAAGUUGAGCGCUGAAGGUUGGUACUUGUACCGACUGGAUGAGCAGCGAACGGGUGAGUAACGCGUGGGGAAUCUGCCUUUGAGCGGGGGACAACAUUUGGAAACGAAUGCUAAUACCGCAUAAAAACUUUAAACACAAGUUUUAAGUUUGAAAGAUGCAAUUGCAUCACUCAAAGAUGAUCCCGCGUUGUAUUAGCUAGUUGGUGAGGUAAAGGCUCACCAAGGCGAUGAUACAUAGCCGACCUGAGAGGGUGAUCGGCCACAGUGGGACUGAGACACGGCCCAAACCCCUACGGGAGGCAGCAGUAGGGAAUCUUCGGCGAUGGACGAAAGUCUGACCGAGCAACGCCGCGUGAGUGAAGAAGGUUUUCGGAUCGUAAAACUCUGUUGGUAGAGAAGAACGUUGGUGAGAGUGGAAAGCUCAUCAAGUGACGGUAACUACCCAGAAAGGGACGGCUAACUACGUG
RNAcentral lists this ribosomal RNA (497 nucleotides) under uncultured bacterium. RNAcentral's name for it is "partial 16S ribosomal RNA". It matches the Rfam family "Bacterial small subunit ribosomal RNA", at positions 28 to 507 of the family's 1533-position model. The record is from RNAcentral.